Molecule: Y RNA, 99 nt
Filed under: Microcebus murinus (gray mouse lemur)
Lineage: Eukaryota; Metazoa; Chordata; Mammalia; Primates; Cheirogaleidae
Description: Y RNA (ENSMICG00000023917.3)
Rfam family: Y RNA
About the family: Y RNAs are components of the Ro ribonucleoprotein particle (Ro RNP), in association with Ro60 and La proteins. The Y RNAs and Ro60 and La proteins are well conserved, but the function of the Ro RNP is not known.
Source: Rfam by way of RNAcentral
GGAUGGUCCAAAGGUCGUAAUUGAUGACAGUCAGUUACAGAUUGAACUCCUUGUUUUACUCUUUCCUCCCUUCUCACUACUGAACUUGAUCAGUCUUUA